UACGAAGGGGGCUAGCGUUGUUCGGAUUUACUGGGCGUAAAGCGCACGUAGGCGGAUCGUUAAGUCGGGGGUGAAAUCCUGGAGCUCAACUCCAGAACUGCCUUCGAUACUGGCGAUCUUGAGUCCGGAAGAGGUGAGUGGAACUCCUAGUGUAGAGGUGGAAUUCGUAGAUAUUAGGAAGAACACCAGUGGCGAAGGCGGCUCACUGGUCCGGUACUGACGCUGAGGUGUGAAAGCGUGGGGAGCAAACAGG
This 253-nucleotide ribosomal RNA is filed under the name uncultured bacterium. RNAcentral describes it as "partial 16S ribosomal RNA". It matches the Rfam family "Bacterial small subunit ribosomal RNA", at positions 524 to 776 of the family's 1533-position model. The record is from RNAcentral.